GACGAACGCUGGCGGCGUGCUUAACACAUGCAAGUCGAACGAAGUGGCGAACGGGUGAGUAAUACGUGAGUAACCUGCCCUCCUUUUUGGGAUAAGCCUUGGAAACGGGGUCUAAUACCGAAUAAAGGGGGAUGGGGUCGCGGCCUAUCAGCUUGUUGGUGGGGUGAUGGCCUUCCCAGGCGGUGACCGGUAGCCGGCCUGAGAGGGUGAGCGGCCAAAUUGGGACUGGGAUACGGCCCAGACUCCUACGGGAGGGGGGAAGGGGGGAUAAUGCACAAAGGGCGAAAGCCUGAUGGAGGGGCGGCGGGUGGGGGAUGGAGGCUUUGGGGUUGUAAAACUCUUUCGGUAUCGAAGGGGUAGGUGGAGAAGAAGCGCCGGCUAACUACGUGCCAGCAGCCGCGGUAAUAC
This 408-nucleotide ribosomal RNA is filed under the name uncultured bacterium. Its description in RNAcentral is "partial 16S ribosomal RNA". It matches the Rfam family "Bacterial small subunit ribosomal RNA", at positions 28 to 526 of the family's 1533-position model. The record is from RNAcentral.